CGAAGAGUUAUGAGUCUUCCAAUUGAAUAGAUCAGUUGUGGUGAAGGGGACAUAGACAAACACUGGAUCUGCCCGUUGUAUUUGGCCACCAUUUUCAUCAACGUGUGUUGGGCCCGGUGUAAGUCGGAGAGGCAUCUGGCAAUGUCGGGAUGGAAGGGUGCCAGUCAAUUGUCAGGUUAGUAUGGGGCUUCGGCAAGGCUGCUCAGUAAUAGGUUCAGGUCUGAGAGUAGUAAGAUAGGUGGAAGGGGGUGAGCUAAUUUUACUAGUCAGCAUUUG
Pelobates cultripes (western spadefoot toad) is the source of this 276-nucleotide non-coding RNA. Lineage: Eukaryota; Metazoa; Chordata; Amphibia; Anura; Pelobatidae. The record is from the annotation of a GenBank genome assembly.